UUCAGACUUUUAAAUUAUAAACUUAUUUUUUAUUAUCUUGGUUCAUUAGCCACCUUUUCCAUCUUUCUUUAGACUCAGUUUUCCUUCUUUUUCCUCUGCCUUCUUUUUAACCCUCACACUCACUAACUCAGUGCAUGUCUGUUUAGAUGGUGACUAAGUGUCCGCAGCGGAGAGGGCUUUGUUUUGAACCGAUUAUUUCUUUCAUUUGGACCGGGUAUUAUGCAUUUUGCUGAGAGAGGUUCUGUGGAGUUGAUUGUUGUACUGUGAGAACCCUAGAUGUCGAGGAGGUUCCCCUGGAACAGGCAUUGGAGGAAGAUGACGUUGAACCAUAGUUUCAUUAGGAUUUCCUUAUUUUAACUUAUGUAUUUUGAAAAACUUUAAUAUGUAGAACCCAUGAUAUGUUGGAAGACUUAGUACUUCAAGCUUUGACUUUUAUAACUUGAUGACGUCUUUAUUAUAUAUGCACGCCGCU
Molecule: long non-coding RNA, 472 nt
Organism: Vigna angularis (adzuki bean)
Lineage: Eukaryota; Viridiplantae; Streptophyta; Magnoliopsida; Fabales; Fabaceae
Exons: 3
Source: RefSeq, a predicted model, not a curated record